Long non-coding RNA from Lutzomyia longipalpis, 567 nucleotides. RefSeq lists it as uncharacterized. NCBI's taxonomy places the organism in Eukaryota, Metazoa, Arthropoda, Insecta, Diptera, Psychodidae. The transcript is spliced from 2 exons. The record is from RefSeq and is a predicted model, not a curated record.
ACAAUCUUAGAUAGUGCUCAAUAGUGUCAGCACAAUGUAUAAGAUCGUCUUGAUUAUUCCUUUGAUGUGUUUUGGAGCAGUAUGGUGCGGGCCAGUAACUUUGUCUGCCUGUACUGGUAUUCCUGCACAAACACCACCACCCCAAAUGCUCACCUAUGUCAAUAUAACAGGCUGCGCUGGAGCUACGUGUACCUUAAAUGCAGGUUCAACUGUUUCUGUGGAAAUCGCGUUCACUUCAGCUGGAAAUUAUGCUCAACUUUAUGUAAAUGGAACUGCUACAGUGGCAGGUGUGCAAUUGGCUCCUCAGCAAAUAAGUACGUGUGACAGUUCGGUAACAGGAACUAAUAAAUGCCCAAUUGUACCUGGUAGAGUGGUCUUGAGUACGUCUAGGAGCGAUUUGUCGAUCGUAAGGGGCACUUAUACUGCGACAAUGCAACUGAGAAUAGGCAGUAAUACCGCCGUAAGACCUAUUCUUUUCUGUUCACAAGCAACAUUAACGAUUACUGUUAAUUAAUAAUUUUGUCUUUGAAUUGGAUUGAAAAUAAAGGGCCUAUACGUACGAGAAUA